GAUGAACGCUGGCGGCGUGCCUAAUACAUGCAAGUCGAGCGAACAGACGAGGAGCUUGCUCCUCUGACGUUAGCGGCGGACGGGUGAGUAACACGUGGAUAACCUACCUAUAAGACUGGGAUAACUUCGGGAAACCGGGGCUAAUACCGGAUAAUAUAUUGAACCGCAUGGUUCAAUAGUGAAAGACGGUUUUGCUGUCACUUAUAGAUGGAUCCGCGCCGCAUUAGCUAGUUGGUAAGGUAACGGCUUACCAAGGCAACGAUGCGUAGCCGACCUGAGAGGGUGAUCGGCCACACUGGAACGGAGACACGGUCCAGACGCCUACGGGAGGCAGCAGUAGGGAAUCUUCCGCAAUGGGCGAAAGCCUGACGGAGCAACGCCGCGUGAGUGAUGAAGGUCUUCGGAUCGUAAAACUCUGUUAUUAGGGAAGAACAAAUGUGUAAGUAACUAUGCACGUCUUGACGGUACCUAAUCAGAAAGCCACGGCUAACUACGUG
This 497-nucleotide ribosomal RNA is filed under the name uncultured bacterium. RNAcentral's name for it is "partial 16S ribosomal RNA". It matches the Rfam family "Bacterial small subunit ribosomal RNA", at positions 28 to 507 of the family's 1533-position model. The record is from RNAcentral.